GGUUGGAUGGCCGAGUGGUCUAAGGCGCUAGAAUCAGGUGUUUACUUAUCUAGUCCGAAAGGGCGUGGGUUCGAAUCCCACUCCAAUCA
Mycena capillaripes is the source of this 89-nucleotide non-coding RNA. Lineage: Eukaryota; Fungi; Basidiomycota; Agaricomycetes; Agaricales; Mycenaceae. The record is from the annotation of a GenBank genome assembly.